RNAcentral lists this ribosomal RNA (489 nucleotides) under uncultured Thermus sp. RNAcentral describes it as "bacterial SSU rRNA". It matches the Rfam family "Bacterial small subunit ribosomal RNA", at positions 897 to 1382 of the family's 1533-position model. The record is from RNAcentral. Lineage: Bacteria; Thermotogati; Deinococcota; Deinococci; Thermales; Thermaceae.
AAACUUAAAGGAAGUUUCGACGGGGGCCCGCACAGCGGUGAGCAUGUGGUUUAAUUCGAAGCAACGCGAGAACCUUACCAGGCCUUGACAUGCUGGGGAACCUAGGUGAAAGCCUGGGGUGCCCGCGAGGGAGCCCUAGCACAGGUGCUGCAUGGCCGUCGUCAGCUCGUGUCGUGAGAUGUUGGGUUAAGUCCCGCAACGAGCGCAGCCCCUGCCCUUAGUUGCCAGCGGGAUAGGCCGGGCACUCUAAGGGGACUGCCUGCGAAAGCAGGAGGAAGGCGGGGACGACGUCUGGUCAUCAUGGCCCUUACGGCCUGGGCGACACACGUGCUACAAUGCCCACUACAGAGCGAGGCGACCCAGCGAUGGGGAGCGAAUCGCAAAAAGGUGGGCGUAGUUCGGAUUGGGGUCUGCAACCCGACCCCAUGAAGCCGGAAUCGCUAGUAAUCGCGGAUCAGCCAUGCCGCGGUGAAUACGUUCCCGGGCCUU